GCCGAGGUAGCUCAGCCUGGGAGAGAUUGUAAACUCCAGCACUCCGCUGAAGCCGGAGCUGUCGCCGGUUCAAAUCCGGCUCUCGGCA
RNAcentral lists this transfer RNA (88 nucleotides) under Nitrososphaerota archaeon. RNAcentral describes it as "Thaumarchaeota archaeon tRNA-Phe". It matches the Rfam family "tRNA". From Rfam's summary of the family: Transfer RNA (tRNA) molecules are approximately 80 nucleotides in length. Lineage: Archaea; Thermoproteati; Nitrososphaerota. The record is from RNAcentral.